GCCGAAAGGCAGGAGUGCCCGCAAGGGAACGCGGAGACAGGUGGUGCAUGGCUGUCGUCAGCUCGUGUCGUGAGAUGUUGGGUUAAGUCCCGCAACGAGCGCAACCCUCACCCCUUGUUGCCAUCAGGUGAUGCUAGGCACUCUAGAGGAACUGCCCCGGUCAACGGGGAGGAAGGCGGGGACGACGUCAAGUCAUCAUGCCCCUUACGUCCUGGGCUACACACGUGCUACAAUGGCCGGUACAGAAGGAUGCUAGACCGCGAGGUAAAGCUAAACCCAAAAAGCCGGUCUAAGUUCAGAUUGGAGUCUGCAACUCGACUCCAUGAAGAAGGAAUCGCUAGUAAUCGCGUAUCAGCACGACACGGUGAAUACGUUCCCGAGCCUUGUACACACCGCCCGUCACACCACGAAAGCCAGCUGUACUCGAAGUCGCUGAG
Molecule: ribosomal RNA, 437 nt
Filed under: uncultured bacterium
Lineage: Bacteria
Description: bacterial SSU rRNA
Rfam family: Bacterial small subunit ribosomal RNA
Source: RNAcentral